RNAcentral lists this transfer RNA (71 nucleotides) under Microbispora rosea subsp. rosea. Its description in RNAcentral is "tRNA-OTHER". Lineage: Bacteria; Bacillati; Actinomycetota; Actinomycetes; Streptosporangiales; Streptosporangiaceae. The record is from RNAcentral.
GGGGCCGUUGUUCCUGGUGAUCAGGCCGAUUUGCAAGCAGGAAGUCAGGGGUUCGAAUCCCCUAGGCUCCA